AAACUCUGGAGAAUCCCACUUCAAGUGGGUGCCGAAGGUGCAAGGCUGCGCUGCAGCCGAAUCUCUCAGGCGAAAGGACAGAGCGGU
RNAcentral lists this non-coding RNA (87 nucleotides) under pig gut metagenome. Its description in RNAcentral is "Glycine riboswitch". It matches the Rfam family "Glycine riboswitch aptamer", at positions 9 to 86 of the family's 94-position model. From Rfam's summary of the family: This family represents the bacterial glycine riboswitch. Glycine riboswitches usually consist of two metabolite-binding aptamers domains with similar structures in tandem. The aptamers cooperatively bind glycine to regulate the expression of downstream genes. The record is from RNAcentral.